CCUACGGAUGACAGCAGUGAGGAAUAUUGGUCAAUGGGCGGAAGCCUGAACCAGCCAAGUAGCGUGCAGGAUGACGGCCCUACGGGUUGUAAACUGCUUUUAUACGGGAAUAACGCGCCUUACGUGUAGGGCUUUGCAUGUACCGUAUGAAUAAGGACCGGCUAAUUCCGUGCCAGCAGCCGCGGUAAUACGGAAGGUCCGGGCGUUAUCCGGAUUUAUUGGGUUUAAAGGGAGCGUAGGCCGCAUGUCAAGCGUGCUGUGAAAUGUCCGGGCUCAACCCGGGCCUUGCAGCGCGAACUGGCGUGCUUGAGUCCGCGGAAGGCAGGCGGAAUUCGUCGUGUAGCGGUGAAAUGCUUAGAUAUGACGAAGAACCCCGAUUGCGAAGGCAGCUUGCUGCAGCGGAACUGACGCUGAUGCUCGAAAGCGCGGGUAUCGAACAGGAUUAGAUACCCUUGUAGUC
This 460-nucleotide ribosomal RNA is filed under the name uncultured bacterium. RNAcentral's name for it is "partial 16S ribosomal RNA". It matches the Rfam family "Bacterial small subunit ribosomal RNA", at positions 338 to 795 of the family's 1533-position model. The record is from RNAcentral.